GGGUGCGAUCAUACCAGCACUAAUGCACCGGAUCCCAUCAGAACUCCGCAGUUAAGCGUGCUUGGGCGAGAGUAGUACUAGGAUGGGUGACCUCCUGAUGUACCAUGUACUUAUAGUGA
Molecule: ribosomal RNA, 119 nt
Filed under: Gossypium arboreum
Lineage: Eukaryota; Viridiplantae; Streptophyta; Magnoliopsida; Malvales; Malvaceae
Source: RNAcentral